UCGGGACAAACAGAAAGUCGAACAAAGAUGGAUGGAUGAAUAGAUGGAUGGCUGGAUCGGAUGGAGGUUAUCAGAGAUACUUAACGCAAACAUAACUAAUGUUGAAUUAUGCAUAUAGAAAACAUAAAAUACAGUUACUCACACGCAAAACGCAUCAAGUACAGUAAAUAAAUCCAUCAAUGGCGCUUAGCACUAGGCCAAAACUUAAA
RNAcentral lists this small RNA (209 nucleotides) under Drosophila erecta. RNAcentral's name for it is "GG27131". Lineage: Eukaryota; Metazoa; Arthropoda; Insecta; Diptera; Drosophilidae. The record is from RNAcentral.